GCAGUACACCAGUAGAAAAGGUUUUUAUUUUUGUAAAAAAAAGAAAUUGAGCGCAUGGUUGCUUUUGCAUGCCAAAAGAACGAAUAUUAGAAAACAUUGAAAAAAAGUCAGAGAUAAUACAAUUAUAUUCUACUAAAAAUAAACACAAUAGUGUGCGCUAAUUAGAUAAUGUGAUAAUCAUGUUUAAAAAUUUUUUUCAACCCUUUUUUUCAGAAAAUAAUGUUGCGGAUCGGAUUGCUCUGAGCGCUUGUCUUGGUUACCAAGAAAAUGCAGCCCUGUUGGUUUUUAUAUCUGUAUCGCAUCGCGACUAUUAAUUACAAGCACAGAAUCAUCAACGGUGAUUGCAAGGAGAACUACUGCAAUCCCUGCGAUUUUUCCUCUGGUCGUGACCGAGGGUGGUCUCCAAAAUCAUAGGACAUGUCAUAAUUGCAGGCUAUUGUUGCAGAACAAAACGUCGCAACCACUGCUGUGGUAAAUAUUUACCAGCAGUACUGCCCACCGCCGUCGGUGCAACGAUUUCGAUAGCUGAACAAACGCCAGGAGGGGCAUUCCCACAGCUUGCCGACACCAGCUAUUAUAUCACGUGUGAAUGCAACUGCGGCUAAAUUUGGUUAUUAUCAGUGCCAUAGUGCCAUGUCAUUGGCAAAAACACUAAAGGCUGUUGGCACAUACAGGUUGUAAAGUCUUUGGUAUGGAUGAACUUACUCGAAGAAGACAAUGGCCGAAAACAUAUGAUGAAACAUCUUCUGGUAUGCCUUUCGUUAAGUUAGACGGAGGCUUCACAUACAAUAUUUCACACAUUCGUUAGCGGACAGAGCACACAAUUACAAAAUAUUUAUCGUACUGCAGAACAUGCAUGGAUAUUCAAUUCCGAUUUUAUGGGUCGAUUACGGAGGACAACCGAACUUCAGUUGGUUGGCCGGCGGCUGAAAUGUGGGGCUGUCCAUCGAUAACCCAACUGAGAUUCCAUUGCCAUCCAUAGUCGAUCUAUAAGUCAUAAUCGCACGAACUAAUUAAGGCUAUCACAGAAUCCAUCGUAGUUCGAUUUUUCGUGAAAUCUAUUGAUCGCUUUUUCGUAGAUUUUAUGAAAAAUCGGACUACGAUGGAUUCCGUGAUAGCCACCAAUAUGUAUUCUCCUUUGACAAGAUGUUGGAGAAUCGUGGCAACACAGCCGUAUACCUACUCUGUGCUUUUACGCGCAUAUGCUAAAUUUAUCGCACCUAGCUAAAGUGCUUGACAAAGCCUUCUUCAACAUUAUAACUUAAAGUAAAAAAGGUUAAGGCAUGCAAUAAAAGAAUACAACAGAACCAAAAAUAUUCU
Rhagoletis pomonella (apple maggot) is the source of this 1320-nucleotide long non-coding RNA. RefSeq lists it as uncharacterized. The record is from RefSeq and is a predicted model, not a curated record. NCBI's taxonomy places the organism in Eukaryota, Metazoa, Arthropoda, Insecta, Diptera, Tephritidae. The transcript has 3 exons.